GAGAGAGAGGAGAGAGAGAGAGAGAGAGAGGGCGAACCUUCCCCUCGAGACUGACUGCAAGUUACUGACCUCUUCUCCUCUUCCCCAAAGAAAACUUUCCGUCGCUCUCCAUUCUCUAUCUUCAAAAGAUCACCAAGCAUCCAAGCCUGAAGAUUUGGAAGAUAUUAAAAGUAAGGAAA
Long non-coding RNA from Callorhinchus milii (elephant shark), 179 nucleotides. RefSeq lists it as uncharacterized. NCBI's taxonomy places the organism in Eukaryota, Metazoa, Chordata, Chondrichthyes, Chimaeriformes, Callorhinchidae. The transcript is spliced from 3 exons. The record is from RefSeq and is a predicted model, not a curated record.